RNAcentral lists this ribosomal RNA (497 nucleotides) under uncultured bacterium. RNAcentral describes it as "partial 16S ribosomal RNA". It matches the Rfam family "Bacterial small subunit ribosomal RNA", at positions 28 to 507 of the family's 1533-position model. The record is from RNAcentral.
GAUGAACGCUGGCGGCGUGCCUAAUACAUGCAAGUCGAGCGAACAGACGAGGAGCUUGCUCCUCUGACGUUAGCAGCGGACGGGUGAGUAACACGUGGAUAACCUACCUAUAAGACUGGGAUAACUUCGGGAAACCGGAGCUAAUACCGGAUAAUAUAUUGAACCGCAUGGUUCAAUAGUGAAAGACGGUUUUGCUGUCACUUAUAGAUGGAUCCGCGCCGCAUUAGCUAGUUGGUAAGGUAACGGCUUACCAAGGCGACGAUGCGUAGCCGACCUGAGAGGGUGAUUGGCCACACUGGAACUGAGACACGGUCCAGACUCCUACGGGAGGCAGCAGUAGGGAAUCUUCCGCAAUGGGCGAAAGCCUGACGGAGCAACGCCGCGUGAGUGAUGAAGGUCUUCGGAUCGUAAAACUCUGUUAUUAGGGAAGAACAAAUGUGUAAGUAACUAUGCACGUCUUGACGGUACCUAAUCAGAAAGCCACGGCUAACUACGUG